This 2362-nucleotide long non-coding RNA is filed under the name Triticum aestivum (bread wheat). RNAcentral describes it as "long non-coding RNA (TAES_LNC024237)". The record is from RNAcentral. Lineage: Eukaryota; Viridiplantae; Streptophyta; Magnoliopsida; Poales; Poaceae.
AGGGAAUUCCUUUCAAUCCAUGGAACAGUGUGUGCGUUAGGCGAUAGCAAGGCCGUCGGACAAUCAUGAUGCUAUUUUCUUAUUUGAAAUCAGAAUGCUACUAGGACAUUAUUAAUUUUGGAAAAUCAGAUCAAACAGGAGAUAUGAUUGGUACCUGGUGAUACAAUUGGAGAAAGGGAUAUGAUAUGUCUGGCAAUGGUUUAGGAAGGUAUUCACUUAUCCGAAACAAAAGCAUAGGUAUGUUCAAGCAAGGAACUGAGCAUGGCAGUUAGGUGGUGGAGUGUCUGUCCUUGAAUUGUACAUAUUUUUUUCUCUGAAAGAAAUUCACUGCGUAGAUCAUUCUAGCUAUUCUCGAUGUUUUUAUCUGUUCCAAUCCAAAUUUGAUAUGCCAGUUGCUUGAAAUUCUUGAGACACUUUGCCCUUUGGAGUAGCGGCUUACAGUUAUAAAGAUACCUAUCUUCUGAAUUUGUAUUUAGCCUAUGGAUUAUAGUGCAUUUAUCUUGCCAUUUUUAUUUAGCCUAUGUGCAUUCGUUGUAGUCCCAGCUUCCAUGUUAUGAUGUGCUUGCUUCAAAAGAAUUGUGUGAAUUUAUGUCACCAAAUCAAAGAUAGCCAGUGAUUUUUUGUGAUACACUUUGAUGUAUACUUUCCAAACACGCUUGUUGUAUUUAAGACUUAAUAGUCUACCAAAUCCUGGCAAAAAUAAUAAUCUUAGUUUGAUGCGAUGCGGAACAGUAGCUGCAGGGUUUGGUCUUCCGUCUUAUUUCUUUAUACAUUUGAUUUGUAUUUGUUCCGGAUACAAUUGGUGUUCAGAUUGUUAGGGACGAGGAUCAUCAGUGGCCAUGCAGGAGCAACAACAGGUGAUCAUGCCUAGUUCGUGAAUUUAUUCUCCUAGCUUGGAGGCUUCCUGCUCAAGGUGCAUGCUUCCUUCCUUUCCCCUCUUUUUUGGCAAUUACUUCCUUUCCCCUCUGAUUUGACUUCAUUUGCCUUCUUGUGUGAAGUUGUGUACUUCAAGUGUACAAAGCAGUAUCGUGUUGAGAUUCAGGAAAAUUGCUAAUUUAUAUUAGUAAUUAUGUAAUCAUGUACUAUGAACUUCCUCAAAUUAGCCGGUUAGUCUCGUGUGGACAUUUAUUUGCUGGUGAGGGAAGCAGUUUAACAUGUGUGUUUUCCCUAUGUUGGCAUCUGCUUCCUCAGAUAAUUGAUAUUAGUUAUCCACUUGCAGUAUAAAUAAUCUCUCUAAUCAGUAACGUUGUUAUUGUAAAUGGUCCCUUUUUUUUGCAUAUUGCUAUUGUGAGUAAUAUUACACCCAAAGAAUAAUAUUGAUAUAUCUCUAAUUUCUUCGUUGCAACAAUGGAUGGUUCUGCUUUAGGUCCUAUAGCUUUUUUUGAAGCUGUAGUUCCUUUAGCCUUUUGGUGUCAUGUCUUUCUGACUAUUGUAGCUGUACAAUUUGACAAUAUAUGCUCAAAUGUUAUGUGUUCUUUACCUUUAGAUUUAUCACUCCAGGUGAAGGGAUUAUCGAUCAUAUAAAUCCCGGUAGACUACCCGCCCACCUGAGGCACUUGCCAUCGCUGUAGCACUUACGGAUGUGCUUCUUUAGUGUGCCUUCUCUCAUCUCACAGUAAAUUGUUUUGUUGUUCUAAAUAAUUGCUGCAGGAGGGAGCAGCAGGCAUAGAAGAAAUCCCAAGUCAAUUUUGCUCAGCUGUAGCAUCUUCCACUGACAAUAAGUCUGCACAGCAGCCUGGUGAGGUUUGUUCUUGCAUUUAAAAACAUAAGUCUUUCAGUUGCUCUCUACUCGCUGGUAAAAAAGCAUAGUGAAUUUCCUUUAUAAAUACCCAGCUGAAGAAUACCUUAGUUAAAUCAAUCAAUAGUGAGUUGUAUUACUAGAGAGUAGAGACGUAAGAAAACGCCCUUAGGUGUGACACUCUACGUGGUUACCUUCUUAGUCCCAACUAUUAACAUCAUACUGAGAUCACACUUUGCCAAGCGGAAUGUUUGUUUCUAUGUACUUCUGGAUGCUAAUUUAUCGUUCUUGAUUUUCAUGGGGAUAUUCCUUCAUUAUUUGGUUACCUGUCAAUGCUCGCUCCUAUUUCCCACCUUGUGCUUUGACUUCUUGCAUUUUUUUCGUCUAAGUUAUUAGGCUACUGCUGCCUGGUUUGCGCAUGAUGAACCACUAAUUAUGAUGCACUGCUGGCCGGUCUGCCUUUUUUAUGCUUUUUUAGUGACAACAUUCAGACUUAAUGUUUAUUACUUCAUUUCAGAGUUUUAAAUUAAGACACGCGGUCAAUUUAUAUGGUCUUCUGAAGUUUCACCUUCCCUUUGUCAUAUUGGUUUGAUCAAAUCAAUGGGAAGCCGGCAUUACUUUCAU